This 502-nucleotide ribosomal RNA is filed under the name uncultured bacterium. Its description in RNAcentral is "partial 16S ribosomal RNA". It matches the Rfam family "Bacterial small subunit ribosomal RNA", at positions 28 to 507 of the family's 1533-position model. The record is from RNAcentral.
GACGAACGCUGGCGGCGUGCCUAAUACAUGCAAGUCGAACGAACCGCGACUAGGUGCUUGCACUUGGUCAAGGUGAGUGGCGAACGGGUGAGUAACACGUGGGUAACCUACCUCAUAGUGGGGGAUAACAGUCGGAAACGACUGCUAAUACCGCAUAGGACAUAGGAUCACAUGAUUCUGUGAGGAAAGGUGGCGCAAGCUAUCGCUAAGAGAUGGACCCGCGGUGCAUUAGCUAGUUGGUAGGGUAAAGGCCUACCAAGGCGAUGAUGCAUAGCCGACCUGAGAGGGUGAUCGGCCACAUUGGGACUGAGACACGGCCCAAACUCCUACGGGGGGCAGCAGUAGGGAAUCUUCCGCAAUGGACGCAAGUCUGACGGAGCAACGCCGCGUGAGUGAAGAAGGUCUUCGGAUCGUAAAGCUCUGUUGUUAGAGAAGAACAGCGCAUAGAGUAACUGUUAUGCGUGUGACGGUAUCUAACCAGAAAGCCACGGCUAACUACGUG